Molecule: ribosomal RNA, 20 nt
Filed under: Blastacervulus robbenensis
Lineage: Eukaryota; Fungi; Ascomycota; Dothideomycetes; Asterinales; Asterinaceae
Description: partial 28S ribosomal RNA
Source: RNAcentral
AAGUUUGACCUCGGAUCAGG